Molecule: ribosomal RNA, 253 nt
Filed under: uncultured bacterium
Lineage: Bacteria
Description: partial 16S ribosomal RNA
Rfam family: Bacterial small subunit ribosomal RNA
Source: RNAcentral
UACGUAGGGUGCAAGCGUUGUCCGGAAUUAUUGGGCGUAAAGAGCUCGUAGGCGGUUUGUCGCGUCUGCUGUGAAAACUCAGGGCUUAACCCUGAGCCUGCAGUGGGUACGGGCAAACUAGAGUACUGCAGGGGAGACUGGAAUUCCUGGUGUAGCGGUGAAAUGCGCAGAUAUCAGGAGGAACACCGGUGGCGAAGGCGGGUCUCUGGGCAGUAACUGACGCUGAGGAGCGAAAGCGUGGGGAGCGAACAGG